This 136-nucleotide long non-coding RNA is filed under the name Fukomys damarensis (Damara mole-rat). RNAcentral's name for it is "lncRNA (ENSFDAG00000027826.1)". The record is from RNAcentral. Lineage: Eukaryota; Metazoa; Chordata; Mammalia; Rodentia; Bathyergidae.
CUAGUUGCCAGGAAGUAGCAUGUAUCAGGUUACCUUUCUUGGCAGUAAGAGGGGCAUGUUGGGAAGAAGAAGACUGUCCUAUGGUUGGAGAAGCCAUAAGUGGCUGCUAUUUCAUGUGGCAGCCAUUUUAAGGUAG